UUGAACGCUGGCGGCAUGCUUUACACAUGCAAGUCGAACGGUAGACCCUUUCGGGGGUUGAGAGUGGCGAACGGGUGAGUAAUGCAUCGGAACAUACCCAGUCGUGGGGGAUAACGUAGCGAAAGUUACGCUAAUACCGCAUGAGUCCUGAGGGAGAAAGCAGGGGAUCGCAAGACCUUGCGCUUUAGGAGCGGCCGAUGUCGGAUUAGCUAGUUGGUGAGGUAAAGGCUCACCAAGGCGACGAUCCGUAGCGGGUCUGAGAGGAUGAUCCGCCACACUGGGACUGAGACACGGCCCAGACUCCUACGGGAGGCAGCAGUGGGGAAUUUUGGACAAUGGGCGCAAGCCUGAUCCAGCCAUGCCGCGUGAGUGAAGAAGGCCUUCGGGUUGUAAAGCUCUUUCGGCGGGGAAGAAAUCGCACGGGUUAAUACCUCGUGUGGAUGACGGUACCCGAAUAAGAAGCACCGGCUAACUACGU
Molecule: ribosomal RNA, 478 nt
Filed under: uncultured bacterium
Lineage: Bacteria
Description: bacterial SSU rRNA
Rfam family: Bacterial small subunit ribosomal RNA
Source: RNAcentral